Molecule: long non-coding RNA, 849 nt
Organism: Xenopus laevis (African clawed frog)
Lineage: Eukaryota; Metazoa; Chordata; Amphibia; Anura; Pipidae
Exons: 8
Source: RefSeq, a predicted model, not a curated record
AGGUUGUUGUAUCUCCAGGAUGACAGAUUCUGCCUCCUCAGCUUCUUCAGCUUCUUCAGCUGCAGGCUGUUGUAUCUCCAGGUUGACAGAUUCUGCCUCCUCAGCUUCUUCAGCUGCAGGUAUAAAAGAACAGCUUUAUAUUUCCAUCUGCCUUACCUCAGUAUGCCGGUGCCGACAUGAGAUGCCACACACUUUGGCGCCCAUCUUGAAACUCCUGUACAAGAAAAGAAAGGGCUGUGGAACACGGGGGCAUUUGUGCCCUAACAAAACCGUGGAUUUGUGAGCAAUCCGGCCUAAACACUAGAAGUACAGAAGUAGAAUGCAGUUUCCAGAGAUAAUGGCGGAUCCCCUCAUGUGUUUUACAUACAAAAUUCUACAGACUGCUUGCAACUGCCUGGUGGGGAAUCAUUGGUCAUUAUGGUUUCAAAUUUUGGGGUGGCCGGGAGUGUUCGUGUGGGAGGUGUUCAGCAAGGGCAAGAUACCAUUUGAACAUUUUUUCAACUCCGAGGCUGUGGAUAAAAUCUCAACUGGACUGAGGUUCUUCAGACCCAAGAAAUCUUCUGAAAGAGUGUACAUACUGAUGAACAACUGCUGGAAAUGAGCUGGAUGGUCAGAAGGGGGGGGGGCAUAUGGUGCUGCUGCCCGCACUUCUGCCUCCCCCCAGCGACGACCCCCAACCUGGAUCUCCGUGGGACAACGUCCUGCAGCGCCUCCAGCCCGUCCCACGUUGCAGAGGACAGAUCUGCUACCUGGAAUAUGCCAGUAAGAAGCAGAAGAAAAGAGAUAAAGCAGAAGGGAUGGAAUUGAGAUCAUAAUACAGAAGAAGACAAGACAUUUCUCGGGACACUC